CUCUAAUCUAACUUUUUCUAAAUCUAUUGAUCGUAUUGAAUCAUCUUAAUCUAUUGAUCGUAUUGAAUCAUCUUACCUUUCCUUAUACUCUACUGAUUGUUGAAGACCUGUGUUGUUUGAACCUCGAACUCCGAUUGGUUUUUUAUGUACACUGGAACACUGGAUGGCGAGUCAGUCCCCUUGGAUCGAUUGAAUUGUUCUACCCUUUCAUACUGGAUAACCAACCCCUUGAACUGCCCUUUCAUACUGGAUAACCAACCCCUUGAACUGCCCUUUCAUACUGGAUAACCAACCCCUUGAACUGCCCUUUCAUACUGGAUAACCAACCCCUUGAACUGCCCUUUCAUACUGGAUAACCAACCCCUUGGAUCUGUUCCCUGGAUACAGAUAAGCCUUCACACAUACACUGGCAUUGUACACUCACACCACCUUACCCGGGUAUUUCUUUUCUUUUGGACAUUUGAGUUUUUAACUAUUGAUUUGAUACUUUGCAUUUUUAAGAGCUCUUUUAUUAUUUUAUAGGGUUUUGUAUUUAUUUACUAUUUAUUUUCUAUUUACUAAUAUUUCCUCUUCUUUUCUCAUAGAGAAAAGAUAUUCUUGCAUUUAAUAAACCUGCAUUAUUUAUUUAUAACAUUUUA
This is a long non-coding RNA of Alosa sapidissima (American shad), 638 nucleotides long. RefSeq lists it as uncharacterized. Lineage: Eukaryota; Metazoa; Chordata; Actinopteri; Clupeiformes; Clupeidae. The record is from RefSeq and is a predicted model, not a curated record. The transcript is spliced from 2 exons.